Molecule: ribosomal RNA, 277 nt
Filed under: uncultured bacterium
Lineage: Bacteria
Description: partial 16S ribosomal RNA
Rfam family: Bacterial small subunit ribosomal RNA
Source: RNAcentral
GUGCCUAAAACAUGCAAGUCGCACGGGGGCUUCGGCCCCAGUGGCAGACGGCUGAGUAACGCGUGGGUGACGUACCUAUCGGUGGGGAAUAACUGCCCGAAAGGGUGGCUAAUACCGCAUACGCCUGUUGCUUCGUGGCAAUAGGGAAAGCCGCAAGGCGUCGAUGGAGCGGCCCGCGUCCGAUUAGCCAGUUGGUGGGGUAACGGCCUACCAAAGCGACGAUCGGUAGCUGGUCUCAGAGGAUGAUCAGCCAGACUGGGACUGAGACACGGCCCAG